RNAcentral lists this ribosomal RNA (941 nucleotides) under Psilocybe flocculosa. RNAcentral's name for it is "LSU rRNA". It matches the Rfam family "Eukaryotic large subunit ribosomal RNA", at positions 38 to 964 of the family's 3401-position model. The record is from RNAcentral. Lineage: Eukaryota; Fungi; Basidiomycota; Agaricomycetes; Agaricales; Agrocybaceae.
GCAUAUCAAUAAGCGGAGGAAAAGAAACUAACAAGGAUUCCCCUAGUAACUGCGAGUGAAGCGGGAAAAGCUCAAAUUUAAAAUCUGGCAGUCUUUGAUUGUCCGAGUUGUAAUCUAGAGAAGUGUUAUCCGCGUUGGACCGUGUACAAGUCUCCUGGAAUGGAGCGUCAUAGAGGGUGAGAAUCCCGUCUUUGACACGGACUACCAGUGCUUUGUGAUGCGCUCUCAAAGAGUCGAGUUGUUUGGGAAUGCAGCUCAAAAUGGGUGGUAAAUUCCAUCUAAAGCUAAAUAUUGGCGAGAGACCGAUAGCGAACAAGUACCGUGAGGGAAAGAUGAAAAGAACUUUGGAAAGAGAGUUAAACAGUACGUGAAAUUGCUGAAAGGGAAACGCUUGAAGUCAGUCGCGUUGUCCGGGGAUCAACCUUGCUUUUGCUGGGUGUACUUUCCGGUUGACGGGUCAGCAUCAAUUUUGACCGUUGGAUAAAGUGUAGGGGAAUGUGGCAUCUUCGGAUGUGUUAUAGCCUCUGCUCGCAUACAACGGUUGGGAUUGAGGAACUCAGUACGCCGCAAGGCCGGGAAUUUAUUCCACGUUCGUACUUAGGAUGCUGGCAUAAUGGCUUUAAUCGACCCGUCUUGAAACACGGACCAAGGAGUCUAACAUGCCUGCGAGUGUUUGGGUGGAAAACCCGAGCGCGUAAUGAAAGUGAAAGUUGAGAUCCCUGUCGUGGGGAGCAUCGACGCCCGGACCAGACCUUUUGUGACGGAUCUGCGGUAGAGCAUGUAUGUUGGGACCCGAAAGAUGGUGAACUAUGCCUGAAUAGGGUGAAGCCAGAGGAAACUCUGGUGGAGGCUCGUAGCGAUUCUGACGUGCAAAUCGAUCGUCAAAUUUGGGUAUAGGGGCGAAAGACUAAUCGAACCAUCUAGUAGCUGGUUCCUGCCGA